This is a long non-coding RNA of Rhipicephalus sanguineus (brown dog tick), 344 nucleotides long. RefSeq lists it as uncharacterized. The record is from RefSeq and is a predicted model, not a curated record. The transcript has 2 exons. NCBI's taxonomy places the organism in Eukaryota, Metazoa, Arthropoda, Arachnida, Ixodida, Ixodidae.
CAGGGUCCCUGAGUGCUUUCAAAGGCGUUCCGAGAUCUGGGUUUGGUCUCGGGGUAUAUUGCCCCGACUUUGAAGUGGAGUGUGAGAACAUGUGCGUGGCUGUCGGACACAAGGAUGGAUACUGCAACGGGACGAUAUGUUUGUGUGAAGACCACGUAGUAGUGAACCUAGGACUACGGCAACGUAGCUGAGCUUUCUGAUUCACCGAAUAAUUCCAACUGGUGCCUCUUAAGACAAAGUGUCCUUGCAGCUCGCACUCGACUUCCACAUGCUGUACACUCGCGUUUUUAUGUUCAUUUUUUGAUGUUGGCGAAAAAACAAAUAAACUUCACAUUUGGAAAUUG